This 1171-nucleotide long non-coding RNA is filed under the name Vulpes vulpes (red fox). RNAcentral's name for it is "lncRNA (ENSVVUG00000004028.1)". The record is from RNAcentral. Lineage: Eukaryota; Metazoa; Chordata; Mammalia; Carnivora; Canidae.
AUUAUGAAAAUAGCACAUCUGAGCAGAGGUAUGUUAUUAUGGUGUGAGUUCUGUGUUCUCUCCCUUUACUAUAGAAGGACAUGCCCCAGCCUCUUACUGCUCCUUCAUCCUGGAUCCUAAAGUGGAAAGACAUGAGACACUCCUGAACUUAACUUGGUGUAAUGUGGCUGAAAUGCUGACCUACAAACUCACGGGCAAGAUUACAGGUCAGCUCUUGGUCAGCUCUUUCCAAGCAGUGGCCCAAGGAUCCAGCUAUCUUGUGUCAUGGCCCCAUGAUUCUGGACUUCUUAGUUCACAGCUGUGUAGACAGGAAAAGAGUUGCGGAUCUUGGGAGAUUUUAGAGACCAAGCCUAGAGGGCCAUACACCAUUUCCCCUACAUUUUACUGGCUGAAAUUGAGCACAGGGCUCCUUUCUCCCUGCAAAAAAGCCUGGCCUCUGAGAUGUGCUCCUGGUGAGCUCCAACCUUUGAGAACUAGCACCAGGCCUUUACAGUGCUUCGUGGUGCCUGGUCAUUGGCCUGACUACUGCUUUCUAGAAUUGAGGGAAUGGGUAAAGCAGAGAGAGAACAGCAGAUGCUGGCUUCUGGGAAACCAGCCUGGUGACCUGAAACUGGAGAAGUUCCCCCGACGGUGUGAGGAGGAUUGUCCUCCUGACCCCUCACCUCCCCACAGCCCUGGGUCACCUUCCUCUGUUUACUGAGAACACGCCUGUGAGAAAAACAGGGCCUGCCUGGGCCAGUGAGCAGUGUAUGAGAGAAUUUGAACUUUAUCGAUCUUGACAUUUCUGCCUUGGUAUGUGUGACUGUUCUUACACAUAUGGAUUGGAUCAAAUGAGAUAAUUUAUGCGAAAGCACUUUGAAAUUUUUAGAGGGCUAUCCAAGGUACUGCUUGUUGUUAUUACUACCAUCCCACAGGAAAGGCUUGCCUCUUUAACAUACCCAAGUAUUUGAUUAAAAUUAGGUGGCAAAUUGACAAACCUAUAAAGUGCUUUCUUGUGUAGCCUGUCACCUAUACCUAUGGUGACCAUAUGGCCUGCAUUUUCCAGGAUGGCCCAGAGUCCAUGUAAUUUUAUUCUUUAUAACAGAAGUGACUUGUUAAAUUCUUAACUAAAUGUCGCUUAAUGAUUAAACCUCUGUAAGACUUUUCUCAAAAAUAAAUCCAUAAGUCAAAA